Long non-coding RNA from Solenopsis invicta (red fire ant), 456 nucleotides. RefSeq lists it as uncharacterized. The transcript is spliced from 2 exons. Lineage: Eukaryota; Metazoa; Arthropoda; Insecta; Hymenoptera; Formicidae. The record is from RefSeq and is a predicted model, not a curated record.
UGCUUAAGGGCCUGAGCAGAAUGGCUGACUUAUAACCUUAAGACAAGUUUUAUGACUUAAGUCUUUGUCUUUAAGAACGCACAAUAACUGUCUUAUGUCUUAUGUCUCAAGCAGUCUCAAGGGGCCAGUGAGGUGUUUAUCGUUACGAAGAAUAUUACGUAUUUAAACAUAAAAGUUUGCUGUAAAUCCUGGCACGUUGUGCAAUUGACAAAGCUCGUCCCAGCACCUCGCUAGCAGCAAUUCGACGGGAUUGACGAAGGAAUUUUCGAGGCCGACGCCGCCCGUCAUCAGGAACAUCAUCAAGAGCUGACUCUGCUUGUUCAGCAAGUUCAUAGUGGUUCACAGAUAGCAGGAGCGAGAAAAGCAGCUUGUAGUUCUCGAAAAGCGAGCAGCAUAUAUUGAUUUUUUUAUAGGAAAUUGUAAAAAAUUUUAAGUAUUAAAUGAAGAAAGAUAAAA